Molecule: unclassified non-coding RNA, 2132 nt
Filed under: Centruroides sculpturatus (bark scorpion)
Lineage: Eukaryota; Metazoa; Arthropoda; Arachnida; Scorpiones; Buthidae
Description: selenocysteine lyase-like, transcript variant X1
Source: RNAcentral
AUAUCAUCAUCAUCGCACAUUUAAAGUGCCGGCAAAAACCAAGUUGCGUCACUGGUAAGAAAGCAUGUCAACAAAGGAAGAUCCGAUAUAUUUGGAUUACAAUGCCACAACACCUGUAGCACCAGAAGUCGUAGAAGCAAUCGCCGACACUUUAAAAAAUGCCUGGGGUAAUCCAAGUAGUAAAUAUGUUGCAGGAAAGAAGGCAAAAAUGGUUGUCGAAACUGCUCGUAAAAAUGUUGCAGAAAUGAUCGGAGCUAAAGAAUCAGAUAUUAUAUUUACAUCGGGAGGUACCGAGGGCAACAAUCUAGUCAUACAUUCAGCAAUCCAGUAUUAUCAUAACAACAAUGCAGUUAAUAGCCAAAAUACAACAAAAAGAAGAAAAUUCUUACCCCAUAUCAUCACUACAAAUAUAGAACACGAUUCUAUUGCGUUACCGCUUAAACAUCUGUCGGAAAAAGGUAUUGUAGAAGUUACAUUCAUACCCGUCUCAAAACAAACUGCGGCCGUAGAAGUGGAAGAAGUAACGAAAGAAAUUCAGCCAAAUACCUGUCUCAUCACAGUCAUGCUGGCUAACAACGAAACUGGAAUUAUACAGCCGAUAUCGUUACUGGGGAAGAAAAUACAGCAGCUGAAUUGUCAACGAAGCCAGCUUUCCUCUUCGUUGCCGCCAAUUUUAUUUCACACCGAUGCCGCACAAGCACUAGGUAAAAUCCCCGUGAACGUAGACGAUCUGCAUGUUGAUUUUCUAACCAUCGUAGGUCACAAGUUUUAUGGACCGAGAGUGGGAGCAUUGUAUUUUAAUUCGGACAAAGACAAAAUACUUUAUCCAAUGUAUUUCGGGGGAGGACAAGAGAGAAGUUACAGACCCGGGACAGAAAAUGUUGCGAUGAUUGCAGGUUUAGGAAAGGCAGCAGAAUUAAUUGUAAGAAAUUUAGACAUUUAUCAGAAAAAUAUGACAAAAUCUAGAGAUCACUUGGAAAAUAAAUUGAAGGAGGCGUUCGGAGAGUUGGUAAGUUUUAAUAAUCACGGAAAAGCUGAGAGACUCCCCAAUACCUGCAGUGUGGCAUUUACCAACAACAAAAUGAAAGGCCAAGAUAUCUUAGAAAAAACGUGCACGAUUCAAGCAAGCGUGGGAGCGGCUUGUCAUAGUAACAAUAGCAAACAGUCCAUACUGAUUGCGUCGGGAAUUCCGAGAGAAUUGGCGGAAAGCACUCUGAGACUGACGACGGGACGAGACACGAGAGACGAAGAUAUCGAUAGAGCCGUAUCUGAUCUGAGGAAAACCGUGCGAAAUAUAUAUAAUUUAUGAUGAUUCGUAUUGAAUUAUAUAAUGAAUUUAUUAUUUAUACACAUAUAAAUACAACAAAAUGUUCCUAAAAGAAAUUGUUGACUUGAUACAGCAUUGAUAAAGUAAACACGCAAAUGCUCUAUGAUGUGGGGAUACGUUUCAACUGUGAGUGUGGCAUAAUGGCAAAAUAUUCAUAAAAAGUGUUUCUAACCUUUACUUUUUGGAUAUUAACACGUUUCCCUAUAAUGUGUUAGAUGGGUUCAGCUGUAUAUAUAAGAAUUGUCAUUCGUCAUGAUCUGAAGAGAUUUGCUUUCCAAAGCAUUUAAGUGUUCGUAAAUUUAGAUUUUUACGACUCCUUGUGAUAAAUAUGUAAGGAAAUUUAAUAUAUUUGUGAAAAUUUUAUGACUAAGAUCAUAUCUGAAGUAUCUUUUGCAACUCCAAAGAUUUUAACUUGUGUUACAUAUGUCAAUAUCUGUAAGUAAUGUUAUAAAAUAUAUUUUCAAUUGGUAUCAAUGAUAAUAUAUCUAAUUAUUCAUUCGGAAAUUUAUAAAAACAUCCUUUAUGGAAAGAAAAGCCUUCUAUGUACAACUGCAUCAUGUUAUUAUAAACAGGCACUCAUUGCUCAAAUUUUUAUAUGGUUAGAUUUUGUCAUGCAGCAUUAGCCAGAAUGACCCAAUCCUUGUAGCAAGGGACGACGCUUUACAAGUGAUCACAAAUGCAGUUAUUUAUAACAUUUUUUUUCAUCUAAUUUCUAAAGUAAUAAUUCAUGCAGGUAUUAAUUAAAAAAAUCAAUUUUAUUAAAAAAUAUAUAAAUACCAAAAAUAUAUAAAUACAAAAUUGUUUU